GCUUACGGCCACACCGGCCUGAGUAUGCCUGAUCUCGUCCUAUCUCGGAAGCUAAGCAGGGUCGGGCCUGGUUAGUACUUGGAUGGGAGACCGCCUGGGAAUACCAGGUGCUGUAAGCU
Molecule: ribosomal RNA, 119 nt
Organism: Oncorhynchus mykiss (rainbow trout)
Lineage: Eukaryota; Metazoa; Chordata; Actinopteri; Salmoniformes; Salmonidae
Source: Ensembl